GAUGAACGCUGGCGGCGUGCCUAAUACAUGCAAGUCGAACGAACAGACGCGGAUCUUGCGCGUCGGACGUUAGCGGCAGAGGGGUGAGUAACACGAGUAUAAUCUACUUAUAAGACUGGGAUCUUUACGGAAAACGGGCGCUAAUCGCGGAUGAUCUACUGCUGCGCAUGGUUCAUUAGUGAAUUACGGCUUUGCUGGCAGUAAUAGAUGGUUCUGCGGCUCAUUAUCUGGUUGGUAGGGUAACGGCUUACCACGGGUACGCGGGGUAGACGACAUGGGAGGGUGAACGCGCACAUUGGGACUACGAGACGGACCAGUCUCCUACGUGACGCAGCAGUCGAGAAUAUUGCAGAACGGGCGGGAGUCUGAGGUAGAGGCGCUGCGUGCGUGAUGACGUCCUUCGGGUUGUAAACCGAUUUCGCCUGUGACGAAGAGUGAGUGACGGUAAUGGGUAAAGAAGCCCCGGCUAACUACGUG
RNAcentral lists this ribosomal RNA (477 nucleotides) under uncultured bacterium. Its description in RNAcentral is "partial 16S ribosomal RNA". It matches the Rfam family "Bacterial small subunit ribosomal RNA", at positions 28 to 507 of the family's 1533-position model. The record is from RNAcentral.